Molecule: ribosomal RNA, 253 nt
Filed under: uncultured bacterium
Lineage: Bacteria
Description: partial 16S ribosomal RNA
Rfam family: Bacterial small subunit ribosomal RNA
Source: RNAcentral
UACAGAGGUCCCAAGCGUUGUUCGGAUUCACUAGGCGUAAAGGGUGCGUAGGCGGUCGGGUAAGUCUGAUGUGAAAUCUCACAGCUUAACUGUGAAACUGCAUUGGAUACUAUUCGGCUUGAGAGUUGGAGGGGGGACUGGAAUUCUUGGUGUAGCAGUGAAAUGCGUAGAUAUCAAGAGGAACACCAGUGGCGAAGGCGAGUCCCUGGACAACUUCUGACGCUGAGGCACGAAAGCUAGGGGAGCAAACAGG